Molecule: ribosomal RNA, 378 nt
Filed under: uncultured bacterium
Lineage: Bacteria
Description: bacterial SSU rRNA
Rfam family: Bacterial small subunit ribosomal RNA
Source: RNAcentral
UAAUACGUAGGGUGCAAGCGUUGUCCGGAAUUAUUGGGCGUAAAGAGCUCGUAGGCGGUUCGUCGCGUCGGCUGUGAAAACCUGAGGCUCAACCUCAGGCCUGCAGUCGAUACGGGCGGACUUGAGUACUGCAGGGGAGACUGGAAUUCCUGGUGUAGCGGUGAAAUGCGCAGAUAUCAGGAGGAACACCGGUGGCGAAGGCGGGUCUCUGGGCAGUAACUGACGCUGAGGAGCGAAAGCGUGGGGAGCGAACAGGAUUAGAUACCCUGGUAGUCCACGCCGUAAACGUUGGGCGCUAGGUGUGGGGCUCAUUCCACGAGUUCCGUGCCGCAGCUAACGCAUUAAGCGCCCCGCCUGGGGAGUACGGCCGCAAGGCUA